ACCACACUCUCUUUAGUUUUGAAGUUUCUGUUUGUAAGUGUCCUAGAGAAAUAUAGUAGCUUUCUGUUCACCCUUUGCAAGUAAAAAGGGGUGGAUCAUUCCACUACUGACAUGU
This is a small nucleolar RNA of Myotis lucifugus (little brown bat), 115 nucleotides long. The record is from Ensembl. Lineage: Eukaryota; Metazoa; Chordata; Mammalia; Chiroptera; Vespertilionidae.